AGCCUCAUUCUAGAUGAAAAUGGACAUAGUUGAUCAUGAUGACUAGAAAUUGUUAAUGUGGAUAAACUGAGAUACAGUGAAUUUACUGCAGUGGUAUCAAUGAGACCGCUAACAGUU
Small nucleolar RNA from Trichechus manatus latirostris (Florida manatee), 117 nucleotides. RefSeq annotates it as small nucleolar RNA SNORA1. The record is from RefSeq and is a predicted model, not a curated record. NCBI's taxonomy places the organism in Eukaryota, Metazoa, Chordata, Mammalia, Sirenia, Trichechidae. The transcript has a single exon.